This 560-nucleotide ribosomal RNA is filed under the name uncultured bacterium. RNAcentral describes it as "partial 16S ribosomal RNA". It matches the Rfam family "Bacterial small subunit ribosomal RNA", at positions 340 to 917 of the family's 1533-position model. The record is from RNAcentral.
UACGGGAGGCAGCAGUGGGGNAUAUUGCACAAUGGGGGAAACCCUGAUGCAGCGACGCCGCGUGGAGGAAGAAGGUUUUCGGAUUGUAAACUCCUGUUGUUNGGGAAGAUAAUGACGGUACCCAACAAGNAAGNGNCGGCUAACUACGUGCCAGCAGCCGCGGUAAAACGUAGGUCGCAAGCGUUGUCCGGAAUUACUGGGUGUAAAGGGAGCGCAGGCGGNNNGNCAAGUUGGAAGUGAAAUCCAUGGGCUCAACCCNUGAAUUGCUUUCAAAACUGNUNUNCUUGAGUAGUGCAGAGGUAGGCGGAAUUCCCGGUGUAGCGGUGGAAUGCGUAGAUAUCGGGAGGAACACCAGUGGCGAAGGCGGCCUACUGGGCACCAACUGACGCUGAGGCUCGAAAGNNUGGGUAGCAAACAGGAUUAGAUACCCUGGUAGUCCANACCGUAAACGAUGAUUACUAGGUGUUGGAGGAUUGACCCCUUCAGUGCCGCAGUUAACACAAUAAGUAAUCCACCUGGGGAGUACNACCNCCAGGUUGAAACUCAAAGGAAUUGACGGG